AGAGUUUGAUCAUGGCUCAGAACGAACGCUGGCGGCGUGGAUAAGACAUGCAAGUCGAGCGAGAUUUUUUUCUGUAGCAAUACAGGGAAAAGUCUAGCGGCGAACGGGUGCGUAACACGUGGGCAACCUGCCAAGAAGUGGGGGAUAGCUCGCCGAAAGGCGAAUUAAUACCGCAUGUGAUUAGAGUGGACAUCCAUUCAAAAUUAAAGUCGGGGCAACCUGACGCUUCUUGUGGGGCCCGCGGCCUAUCAGCUAGUUGGUGAGGUAACGGCCCACCAAGGCUUUGACGGGUAGCUGGUCUGAGAGGACGACCAGCCACACUGGGACUGAGACACGGCCCAGACACCUACGGGUGGCAGCAGUCGAGAAUUUUUGACAAUGGGGGAAACCCUGAUCGAGCGACGCCGCGUGGAGGAUGAAGGUCUUCGGAUUGUAAACUCCUGUCAUUGGGGAACAAUGCACAGAUAUUAACUGUAUUUGUGUUGAUAGUACCCGAAGAGGAAGGGACGGCUAACUCUGUGCCAGCAGCCGCGGUAAUACAGAGGUCCCAAGCGUUGUUCGGAUUCAUUGGGCGUAAAGGGUGCGUAGGCGGCGCGGUAAGUCGGGUGUGAAAUCUCGGGGCUUAACUCCGAAACUGCAUUCGAUACUGCCGUGCUUGAGGACUGGAGAGGAGACUGGAAUUUACGGUGUAGCGGUGAAAUGCGUAGAUAUCGUAAGGAAGACCAGUGGCGAAGGCGGGUCUCUGGACAGUUCCUGACGCUGAGGCACGAAGGUCAGGGGAGCAAACGGGAUUAGAUACCCCCGUAGUCC
This 810-nucleotide ribosomal RNA is filed under the name uncultured bacterium. Its description in RNAcentral is "bacterial SSU rRNA". It matches the Rfam family "Bacterial small subunit ribosomal RNA", at positions 8 to 796 of the family's 1533-position model. The record is from RNAcentral.